CACGUAGGGCGCAAGCGUUGUCCGGAAUUAUUGGGCGUAAAGAGCUCGUAGGUGGUUCGGUAAGUCGGAUGUGAAAUCUCCAGGCUCAACCUGGAGGGGUCAUUCGAUACUGCCGUGACUAGAGUUCGGUAGGGGAGUGUGGAAUUCCUGGUGGAGCGGUGAAAUGCGCAGAUAUCGGGAAGAACACCCGUGGCGAAGGCGGUUCUCUGGGACGGUACUGACGCUGAGACGCGAAAGCGUGGGGAGCAAACAGG
This 254-nucleotide ribosomal RNA is filed under the name uncultured bacterium. RNAcentral's name for it is "partial 16S ribosomal RNA". It matches the Rfam family "Bacterial small subunit ribosomal RNA", at positions 524 to 776 of the family's 1533-position model. The record is from RNAcentral.